RNAcentral lists this ribosomal RNA (403 nucleotides) under uncultured bacterium. RNAcentral describes it as "partial 16S ribosomal RNA". It matches the Rfam family "Bacterial small subunit ribosomal RNA", at positions 30 to 526 of the family's 1533-position model. The record is from RNAcentral.
AUUGAACGCUGGCGGCAGGCCUAACACAUGCAAGUCGAGCGAGCGGCGGACGGGUGAGUAAUGUAUGUGGAUUGCCCGAUAGAGGGGGAUAACUACUGGAAACGGUGGCUAAUACCGCAUACUAUCGGAUAACCCAUAUGGGAUUAGCUAGUAGGUGGGGUAAAGGCUCACCUAGGCGACGAUCUAUAGCUGGUCUGCGAGGGUGAUCAGCAACACUGGAACUGAGACACGGGCCAGACUCCUACGGAGGCAGCAGUGGGGAAGAUUGCGCAAUGGGCGAAAGCCUGAUGCAGCCAUGCCGCGUGUAUGAGGAAGGCCUUAGGGUUGUAAAGUACUUUCAUCGGGGAGGCGUUACCCGCAGAAGAAGCACCGGCUAACUACGUGCCAGCGGCCGCGGUAAUUC